Molecule: non-coding RNA, 1804 nt
Organism: Lolium perenne
Lineage: Eukaryota; Viridiplantae; Streptophyta; Magnoliopsida; Poales; Poaceae
Source: RefSeq, a predicted model, not a curated record
CUAGACUAAACAUGCUGCCCUCACUCUCAUCCCACACACUAAAAAAGGUCGUACGCACUUCCUUACUCUCUGUGUCUCCCACAACGCCGGCGACCAUACCCAGCUCCCCUGCCACGCCGGCGCUGGCCUCAACGACCCUCUCCUCCUUCCUCUUCCUCCAGGAGACCGGAGACCAGGUGGCACUCGCCGAAGGCCAGGUGACCCAGUGGGAGGCGCCAACAGAGGUGGAGGGGCAGACCUCGUCUCCACCGGAUCCGCAGCCGUGGCCACCGUCACCAGAUCCGCAACCGAGCGGGGAUGAAGGGCGCUAAAUUGGCAGCUGGAAGAGGCCAUCGGCGGCGGCAGGUAUCUCGUCCACCAUUUCCUUCCUAGCCAUAGUCGCAAAAAUUGCAGAGUGGAGCAGUAGUAGCCGCCUACCUCAUCUCACAGGUCUUUGCCAUAGUUCUAGCAAGUUAGGUGAUUUUAUUUAGAAUUCAAAAUUCCUCUAUUUCGGUAUUCAGAUUCCAUUUGAGAUGUUGAGGAGAACAGGGUUCUGAAAAAAUAAAGAGUCGCACAACAUCAUGCUAUAAGCUGUUCAUUUCUGUAUGUAACCAAUACUAUUCUAUCUGAAAGUAAUUCAUUGUGCAGUGUUUUGGCUAGUGUUCACGAACUGCAUUUGCAUCAUGCAUCCCUUCUCCUUGCAUCCCUUCUCCUUGCCCAGUAAGAACACCCGAAAUGUUACAUGUAGCUUAGGAAAUUCGAUCGCAAGUUCGAGGUUGAUGUUCUUCUGAUGGAAUUAUUGUACCGUGUGACACUCAGUUAUGCUUGUUUUACUGCCCUUGCUAGUCUCGUCAUAAUAUGUCUCAAAUAAACUUCAUGAUACUUGAUCAAUUCAUGAUUACAGACCACUCUUUUUAUCAGUGGAAUUUUUGUAGAAGUGUAGGGGGCUUGCUGCAAUGCUGUUACUCUGUUAUGGUUCUCAAUUAAGCUGCUACUCCUCUCGAGCUAAGUGUUAAUGCUAUGGUCGACCGGAGUACCAUUAACUUCGGCUUGUGGGAUAUACAGCUCUGCUUGCUUCCUUUAUUUUCAGCAUUGGUCUCACAAUUUUGUAUCCCAGGUAGCUUUGCUUUGCUGGUAACUUAGUGUUUAAAAAAAUUCGACUGCAUAGGCUACUCUGGUGUUGCUCCGCAGGUCACAGGAAGAAGUCGAACCUGAAGAAAGUGCAGCUGUGUACGUGUGGUGGGAGCCUGUCUCCGUUGACGAGACGUUCAGGCCGGGCGCGGGUGCCGGUGGGAGCCCAUCCACUCGUUCAGGGACGUGGAGUGCAGCCUCCCGUGGAGACUAUGGCGUUGCUCUUGUGUCACGGGAGCGGGCGGUACCAGGAGUGUUGCGGCGUGGGCGGAGGUGCCGACGCGAGCCUGUCCCUGCAUUCAGGGGAUGUGCAGGGCGGCCUGCCAUGGAUGCUGUGGCGGAUCUCUUGUGGGACGGCAGCGGGCGGCUGUCGGCAGCGCCAGAAAGUGCUGCGGCGGCGAGCGGGAUGCGGUGGCGGCGAGGGGAGAGUGGUAGUGGGCUGUUGUUUUGUUCAACCGUUUUUUUAUUGUGGGAGAUGUCUCGCGUGGGUGGGUGUUGUCUGGCUUGAUUCGAUCGUGGGUGUUGUCCGCUCCAUCAAACAUGGAGAGCCUGUGGGUCGUUGGAUCUUAUAAUUGUACGGUGUGGAUUGUCCGGAUCAGCCCCUCUGGGGCUUUUAUUAGUAGUAGAGAUGUUUACGUGCAUUGCACGUACAAACUUACUAGUGUCUAUAAUAAUUAGACUGAUUAUUUCUUCC